Molecule: long non-coding RNA, 1158 nt
Organism: Mirounga angustirostris (Northern elephant seal)
Lineage: Eukaryota; Metazoa; Chordata; Mammalia; Carnivora; Phocidae
Exons: 4
Source: RefSeq, a predicted model, not a curated record
UGCCUUGCGGGCUUGAGUCCCCACUCCAGUCCGCUCCGACGAGGCCUGGAUCCCGCUCCCAGGCAGUGGCACGCGCCGGACUUUCCGGUCACGUCCCGUCAUCCCCCACUCCCCACCCCCGCGGUCUGUUUGCCAGCCCGCCACAGGCGGCUGAGGGCUGAGCGUGUAUUCCUACGCUCACCAGGGACCUCCUUGUACCCGCCUUCUUAGCGGUUCUCUCCCGCCUCUCACGCCGUCCUGGGCCCGGUGUCCUCCCUGCGCCGGUCCUCUCUCGCUUUCACUCCCACCCUCACGCUUCAGGAGCGCCACCCUCCGACCUGGGCUCCCCGGCUCGCACGAGCCCCUGAUAUCUCUCCCCUCUCGGUCCGACGUCUGCUCGCGCGUCGACCCUGCCGCGCCCUAACCCCUGCCUCUGGCGGCGCCCCCUAAACACCACCCCCCCGCAAGCGCGCGCGUCGGGUGGGGGCGUCGCGGCGCUUCCCCGCGUUCGGGGAGCCCGAGGCGCUUCGCUGAGGGCGGGGCGGCGACCGGGCCUGUCGGCAGCGAGCUCCCGCUCGGCCUCGGGGGCUCCAGAGCGGUCCGCAGUUCAGCGAGCUCCCGCCGCCCCACGGGCUAUUGUUUCUGCUGCGGUUGUGAGCUCCCGGCGCGCUUUCUCGCCUUGUUCGUUAGUAUUUUCCUCCUUUGAACAGGGUUCCGCAAACAGGUCGGUCGUGGAGGUAAACAUUUUUAGGUGUGGUUAACGCCGAGCCCCGAGCCCCCGAGCCCUCGAGCCCCCAGGGGCAAUCAGGCGUGGUUGUACACGUUCGCCGACACACGACACACUCAAGACAUCCCGUCCAGGACCCUCAUUGAGCCUGGUGCCUGGUCUGGAGGUGCAAGGGGGAAAGACGUGGUUACCAGAACCCUGAGAGGAAGGAGAACCUGAAGGAGGGCUGCCUGGCAGGACAGCUUUGGUGGAGAACACAGCUACAGCCAGCCUUGUGGAGAGGAAGGGGAGGGGGGCAAGGCACCUGCUAUGUUACAACUGGGGAUAACGACCUCCUCCAAAAGAACUAAAUGGGCCCCUGGACUCCCUUCAAGUGUUAAUUUACCUAACAUGAGGAAGAUAUGGCACAAGAAUUUUUGGAAACCUGCCCAAGGUCAGACAUCUAGUAAGUA